Molecule: ribosomal RNA, 427 nt
Filed under: uncultured bacterium
Lineage: Bacteria
Description: partial 16S ribosomal RNA
Rfam family: Bacterial small subunit ribosomal RNA
Source: RNAcentral
UGGGGAAUAUUGCACAAUGGGCGCAAGCCUGAUGCAGCCAUGCCGCGUGUAUGAAGAAGGCCUUCGGGUUGUAAAGUACUUUCAGCGGGGAGGAAGGCGAUAAGGUUAAUAACCUUGUCGAUGGACGUUACCCGCAGAAGAAGCACCGGCUAACUCCGUGCCAGCAGCCGCGGUAAUACGGAGGGUGCAAGCGUUAAUCGGAAUUACUGGGCGUAAAGCGCACGCAGGCGGUCUGUCAAGUCGGAUGUGAAAUCCCCGGGCUCAACCUGGGAACUGCAUUCGAAACUGGCAGGCUAGAGUCUUGUAGAGGGGGGUAGAAUUCCAGGUGUAGCGGUGAAAUGCGUAGAGAUCUGGAGGAAUACCGGUGGCGAAGGCGGCCCCCUGGACAAAGACUGACGCUCAGGUGCGAAAGCGUGGGGAGCAAACA